UGGGGGAUAUUGCACAAUGGGGGAACCCUGAUGCAGCGACGCCGCGUGGGUGAAGGAGUGCUUCGGCAUGUAAAGCCCUAUCGGCAGGGAAGAAUAUGAUGGUACCUGACUAAGAAGCCCCGGCUAACUACGUGCCAGCAGCCGCGGUAAUACGUAGGGGGCAAGCGUUAUCCGGAUUCACUGGGUGUAAAGGGAGCGUAGACGGCCAUGCAAGCCUGGAGUGAAAGCCCGGGGCCCAACCCCGGGACUGCUCUGGGAACUGCAUGGCUGGAGUGCGGGAGGGGCAGGCGGGAAUUCCUGGUGUAGCGGUGAAAUGCGUAGAUAUCAGGAGGAACACCGGCGGCGAAGGCGGCCUGCUGGACCGCGACUGACGUUGAGGCUCGAAAGCGUGGGGAGCGAACAGGAUUAGAUACC
This 414-nucleotide ribosomal RNA is filed under the name uncultured bacterium. RNAcentral's name for it is "bacterial SSU rRNA". It matches the Rfam family "Bacterial small subunit ribosomal RNA", at positions 355 to 786 of the family's 1533-position model. The record is from RNAcentral.